RNAcentral lists this ribosomal RNA (824 nucleotides) under Pichia gijzeniarum. Its description in RNAcentral is "Pichia sp. MG-2018 partial 26S ribosomal RNA". It matches the Rfam family "Eukaryotic large subunit ribosomal RNA", at positions 75 to 927 of the family's 3401-position model. Lineage: Eukaryota; Fungi; Ascomycota; Pichiomycetes; Pichiales; Pichiaceae. The record is from RNAcentral.
UUGCCCCAGUAGCGGCGAGUGAAGCGGCAAAAGCUCAGAUUUGAAAUCGUGUUUCGGCACGAGUUGUAAAUUGCAGGUUGGGAACUCUGUGGAGGACGGUGUCCAAGUCCCUUGGAACAGGGCGCCAGUGAGGGUGAGAGCCCCGUGGGAUGCCGUCUGAAGCUCUGAGUCCCUUCUGAGGAGUCGAGUUGUUUGGGAAUGCAGCUCCAAGUGGGUGGUAAAUUCCAUCUAAGGCUAAAUACUGGCGAGAGACCGAUAGCGAACAAGUACUGUGAAGGAAAGAUGAAAAGCACUUUGAAAAGAGAGUGAAACAGCACGUGAAAUUGUUGAAAGGGAAGGGUAUUGGGCCCGACAUGGGGGGUGCGCACCUCUGCCUCUUGCAGGCGGGGCUCUGUGUGCCCUCUGGGCCAGCAUCGGUUUUUGCUGCGGGAGAAGGGGCUCUGGAAUGUGGCUCCUCGGAGUGUUAUAGCCAGGGCCAGAUGCCGCGUGCGGGGACCGAGGGCUGCGACAAUUUUUGUCACGGAUGCUGGCACAACGGCGCAAUACCGCCCGUCUUGAAACAUGGACCAAGGAGUCUAACGUCUAUGCGAGUGUUUGGGUGUGAAACCCGUGCGCGUAAUGAAAGUGAACGUAGGUCGGACCCUUCGGGGGCACGAUCGACCGAUCCUGAUGUUUAUCGGAUGGAUUUGAGUAGGAGCAUAGCUGUUGGGACCCGAAAGAUGGUGAACUAUGCCUGAAUAGGGUGAAGCCAGAGGAAACUCUGGUGGAGGCUCGUAGCGGUUCUGACGUGCAAAUCGAUCGUCGAAUUUGGGUAUAGGGGCGAA